CAUGCAAGUCGAGCGAGAAGCUAACUUCGGUUAGUGGACAGCGGCGCACGGGUGAGUAACGCGUGGGAAUUUACCUUUCGGCGGGGGACAACAGUUGGAAACGACUGCUAAUACCGCAUACGCCCUACGGGGGAAAGAUUUAUCACCGAAAGAUAGGCCCGCGUUAGAUUAGGUAGUUGGUAGGGUCAAAGCCUACCAAGCCGACGAUCUAUAGCUGGUUUGAGAGAACGAUCAGCCACACUGGAACUGAGACACGGUCCAGACUCCUACGGGAGGCAGCAGUGGGGAAUCUUGCACAAUGGGCGAAAGCCUGAUGCAGCCAUGCCGCGUGAGUGAGAAGGCCUUCGGGUUGUAAAACUCUUUUAGAUGUGAAGAUGAUGACGGUAACAUCAGAAAAAGCACCGGCUAACUUCGUGCCAGCAGCCGCGGUAAUACGAAGGGUGCUAGCGUUGCUCGGAAUUACUGGGCGUAAAGAGCGUGUAGGCGGCUUAGCAAGUUAGAGGUGAAAUCCCAGGGCUCAACCCUGGAACUGCCUUUGAUACUGCUAGGCUUGAGAUCGUGAGGGGAUAGCGGAAUACCCAGUGUAGAGGUGAAAUUCGU
This 600-nucleotide ribosomal RNA is filed under the name uncultured Alphaproteobacteria bacterium. Its description in RNAcentral is "bacterial SSU rRNA". It matches the Rfam family "Bacterial small subunit ribosomal RNA", at positions 54 to 691 of the family's 1533-position model. Lineage: Bacteria; Pseudomonadati; Pseudomonadota; Alphaproteobacteria. The record is from RNAcentral.